AUGUUUCGCUGCACCGAACCGCUGCGUGCUUCAGCUUCGUCAGAACACGAGCGAGACCAGGCUUCGUUGACCCUUUCGAUCGAGCCAAGCAAGCCGGCCCAGCGCGCCCUCUGCGGGCCUCCUUCCACUCCACCGCCUUGGGCCAAAGCCCAUGGUGAGGCCCAGCGAGGUGAGGACGCACCCAGCCUCCCUUGUGCACUGUUGGGCCAGCCAGCAGAUUCGGCCCAGUGUGGUUUUUUUUCCAGAUCUGUGAAUUUGUCUUUUAUCCAGAGUACUGCAUAUUUACAGAAAACGCCUUAA
RNAcentral lists this ribosomal RNA (300 nucleotides) under Triticum aestivum (bread wheat). RNAcentral's name for it is "partial small subunit ribosomal RNA". Lineage: Eukaryota; Viridiplantae; Streptophyta; Magnoliopsida; Poales; Poaceae. The record is from RNAcentral.